GAGAGCGCAACGGUCUCUCGCGAUUGCCAUCACCGUACACGAUUCAGUGUCCAAAUAAAUCUAGCUAAUGUAGACAACGACGUAGACCAGAGUGUCGAAAAUCGAGGGUUAAGAGAACACGAAAUCAUGCAGCGUUGAACACUUCCCUCCAGAUAAAUCAUCUCGGUGCUGCCCCAUCACACAGAAAUCUUCGUCGAAUCUUCAAGCAUUUCCUGAUCCGAGUCAUUCGAAAUGUACGUCAUCUGAGGAUGGUCCCCGAGUCACGAGUUUCCGAUCCCAGCGAGAAGAAGU
RNAcentral lists this long non-coding RNA (291 nucleotides) under Venturia canescens. Its description in RNAcentral is "uncharacterized LOC122411286, transcript variant X2". Lineage: Eukaryota; Metazoa; Arthropoda; Insecta; Hymenoptera; Ichneumonidae. The record is from RNAcentral.